Molecule: long non-coding RNA, 1170 nt
Organism: Gambusia affinis (western mosquitofish)
Lineage: Eukaryota; Metazoa; Chordata; Actinopteri; Cyprinodontiformes; Poeciliidae
Exons: 3
Source: RefSeq, a predicted model, not a curated record
UUGAGAGCCAAUGAGACUGUGGUGGGAUGGUGUUCCACCCUCCCAACUACACACACCAGGUGUAGCGACUGAUUGGUGGGCGGGGCAGAUAGCUUUAAAGCUGAGCAGUCCGCUGCGAGGUGCGUGUGCCUUGUUUCCUCACUGUAUGUUGGCUGCCCAAGUGGCUGGUGUGCUCGAUCCACUCAUCCAAAAUACGUUGCGCAGCUGGCGUUGGCGGCUGCAGUUGGAGGUUGGUGCGGCGAGCGGCUUCCAUCCAGCCCUCGCCUGCUGAUCCGCUCCCUCCCUGGUCGGCUGUGUCACCACAUCUGGGAUUCUUCCAGAGUUGCAGCGCUUGGACGCUCCUGCUGUCUUGUCUUGCCGGUUUUGUUUGGGCCGCUCUCGACGGAGCCUGCUGACGCUUGGGCUGGCGGAACGAGCGGGGCACGACUCCUCUGGCCCCCCGUGAAAAGACAUUAGAAGUCGGACAAUGACAAUUUGUCCCAUCGUUUGCAGUGGUUGUGUUCUUUUCUUUGCCGUUUGUUUGUUUAUUAUUUAAAUUACUAAUUUGUUUGCUUUCCUUUGUUUGAUUUACUAAUUUGUUUUCUUUUGCAUUGCAUGUUUUGUUUGUUCAUUCAUUUUGUUGGGAAUAACUUAAAUUGUCCUUAUUUUUGAUGCCUUUUCCUUCUAGGGGCUGAGUAGUGGGCCUGAGGCCAUGUUUUAAAGGAAAAAUGUUUUAAUGGAAUUUGUUAAUAAAUCAUUGUAGACUACUCCGUGCUCUGGUGCGUCUUGUGUAAAAAGAUCAACCCCCUCUGCUGGUCACAUUUGGCGCUGUGAGCAGGAUGCACCAUUGAACACGGACUUGUCUUUGUUUUUUUUUUUGUGUGUGUGUUUAGGGUCUUAGCUGUGUUUUUAUUCAUGGUGUUGUAAGACAAGACAGCAGUAGCUAUCCAAGGAAGACUUAACUGUGGGUUCAGGAUUUAUUUUCAUUGUUUUGUUUUUUUUCUCGUGUUUCCUUUUGGUAGUCUUCCCCUGCAGGUAUGGAGGAGGUGGCAGGCCGCCCGGUGGAUGGAGUGGGUCAGCAGAAUGUGACGGUUGGAGGUUCGCUGGGCGCCGCUCCUUCCCCAGCUGUGGCUGGUGGUGUCAUGCCUGCUGGCGCUGUAGUUGCUGAGCGGUUGGUGGUUGUGCCCAGGG